UGGGGAAUAUUGGACAAUGGGCGCAAGCCUGAUCCAGCCAUGCCGCGUGGGUGAAGAAGGCCCUAGGGUUGUAAAGCCCUUUCAGCGGGGACGAUAAUGACGGUACCCGCAGAAGAAGCUCCGGCUAACUUCGUGCCAGCAGCCGCGGUAAUACGAAGGGAGCUAGCGUUGUUCGGAAUUACUGGGCGUAAAGGGCGCGUAGGCGGACAUCUAAGUCAGGGGUGAAAUCCCAGGGCUCAACCCUGGAAUUGCCUUUGAUACUGGACGUCUUGAGUUCGGGAGAGGUGAGUGGAAUUCCGAGUGUAGAGGUGAAAUUCGUAGAUAUUCGGAGGAACACCAGAAGCGAAGGCGGCUCACUGGCCCGAUACUGACGCUGAGGCGCGAAAGCGUGGGGAGCAAACAG
Molecule: ribosomal RNA, 403 nt
Filed under: uncultured bacterium
Lineage: Bacteria
Description: bacterial SSU rRNA
Rfam family: Bacterial small subunit ribosomal RNA
Source: RNAcentral